GGGUUGUGAGGUUAAGCGACUAAGCGUACACGGUGGAUGCCCUGGCAGUCAGAGGCGAUGAAGGACGUGCUAAUCUGCGAUAAGCGUCGGUAAGGUGAUAUGAACCGUUAUAACCGGCGAUUUCCGAAUGGGGAAACCCAGUGUGUUUCGACACACUAUCAUUAACUGAAUCCAUAGGUUAAUGAGGCGAACCGGGGGAACUGAAACAUCUAAGUACCCCGAGGAAAAGAAAUCAACCGAGAUUCCCCCAGUAGCGGCGAGCGAACGGGGAGCAGCCCAGAGCCUGAAUCAGUGUGUGUGUUAGUGGAAGCGUCUGGAAAGGCGCGCGAUACAGGGUGACAGCCCCGUACACAAAAAUACACAUAUUGUGAGCUCGAUGAGUAGGGCGGGACACGUGGUAUCCUGUCUGAAUAUGGGGGGACCAUCCUCCAAGGCUAAAUACUCCUGACUGACCGAUAGUGAACCAGUACCGUGAGGGAAAGGCGAAAAGAACCCCGGCGAGGGGAGUGAAAAAGAACCUGAAACCGUGUACGUACAAGCAGUGGGAGCACGCUUAGGCGUGUGACUGCGUACCUUUUGUAUAAUGGGUCAGCGACUUAUAUUCUGUAGCAAGGUUAACCGAAUAGGGGAGCCGAAGGGAAACCGAGUCUUAACUGGGCGUUAAGUUGCAGGGUAUAGACCCGAAACCCGGUGAUCUAGCCAUGGGCAGGUUGAAGGUUGGGUAACACUAACUGGAGGACCGAACCGACUAAUGUUGAAAAAUUAGCGGAUGACUUGUGGCUGGGGGUGAAAGGCCAAUCAAACCGGGAGAUAGCUGGUUCUCCCCGAAAGCUAUUUAGGUAGCGCCUCGUGAAUUCAUCUCCGGGGGUAGAGCACUGUUUCGGCAAGGGGGUCAUCCCGACUUACCAACCCGAUGCAAACUGCGAAUACCGGAGAAUGUUAUCACGGGAGACACACGGCGGGUGCUAACGUCCGUCGUGAAGAGGGAAACAACCCAGACCGCCAGCUAAGGUCCCAAAGUCAUGGUUAAGUGGGAAACGAUGUGGGAAGGCCCAGACAGCCAGGAUGUUGGCUUAGAAGCAGCCAUCAUUUAAAGAAAGCGUAAUAGCUCACUGGUCGAGUCGGCCUGCGCGGAAGAUGUAACGGGGCUAAACCAUGCACCGAAGCUGCGGCAGCGACGCUUAUGCGUUGUUGGGUAGGGGAGCGUUCUGUAAGCCUGCGAAGGUGUGCUGUGAGGCAUGCUGGAGGUAUCAGAAGUGCGAAUGCUGACAUAAGUAACGAUAAAGCGGGUGAAAAGCCCGCUCGCCGGAAGACCAAGGGUUCCUGUCCAACGUUAAUCGGGGCAGGGUGAGUCGACCCCUAAGGCGAGGCCGAAAGGCGUAGUCGAUGGGAAACAGGUUAAUAUUCCUGUACUUGGUGUUACUGCGAAGGGGGGACGGAGAAGGCUAUGUUGGCCGGGCGACGGUUGUCCCGGUUUAAGCGUGUAGGCUGGUUUUCCAGGCAAAUCCGGAAAAUCAAGGCUGAGGCGUGAUGACGAGGCACUACGGUGCUGAAGCAACAAAUGCCCUGCUUCCAGGAAAAGCCUCUAAGCAUCAGGUAACAUCAAAUCGUACCCCAAACCGACACAGGUGGUCAGGUAGAGAAUACCAAGGCGCUUGAGAGAACUCGGGUGAAGGAACUAGGCAAAAUGGUGCCGUAACUUCGGGAGAAGGCACGCUGAUAUGUAGGUGAAGCGACUUGCUCGUGGAGCUGAAAUCAGUCGAAGAUACCAGCUGGCUGCAACUGUUUAUUAAAAACACAGCACUGUGCAAACACGAAAGUGGACGUAUACGGUGUGACGCCUGCCCGGUGCCGGAAGGUUAAUUGAUGGGGUCAGCGCAAGCGAAGCUCUUGAUCGAAGCCCCGGUAAACGGCGGCCGUAACUAUAACGGUCCUAAGGUAGCGAAAUUCCUUGUCGGGUAAGUUCCGACCUGCACGAAUGGCGUAAUGAUGGCCAGGCUGUCUCCACCCGAGACUCAGUGAAAUUGAACUCGCUGUGAAGAUGCAGUGUACCCGCGGCAAGACGGAAAGACCCCGUGAACCUUUACUAUAGCUUGACACUGAACAUUGAGCCUUGAUGUGUAGGAUAGGUGGGAGGCUUUGAAGUGUGGACGCCAGUCUGCAUGGAGCCGACCUUGAAAUACCACCCUUUAAUGUUUGAUGUUCUAACGUUGACCCGUAAUCCGGGUUGCGGACAGUGUCUGGUGGGUAGUUUGACUGGGGCGGUCUCCUCCUAAAGAGUAACGGAGGAGCACGAAGGUUGGCUAAUCCUGGUCGGACAUCAGGAGGUUAGUGCAAUGGCAUAAGCCAGCUUGACUGCGAGCGUGACGGCGCGAGCAGGUGCGAAAGCAGGUCAUAGUGAUCCGGUGGUUCUGAAUGGAAGGGCCAUCGCUCAACGGAUAAAAGGUACUCCGGGGAUAACAGGCUGAUACCGCCCAAGAGUUCAUAUCGACGGCGGUGUUUGGCACCUCGAUGUCGGCUCAUCACAUCCUGGGGCUGAAGUAGGUCCCAAGGGUAUGGCUGUUCGCCAUUUAAAGUGGUACGCGAGCUGGGUUUAGAACGUCGUGAGACAGUUCGGUCCCUAUCUGCCGUGGGCGCUGGAGAACUGAGGGGGGCUGCUCCUAGUACGAGAGGACCGGAGUGGACGCAUCACUGGUGUUCGGGUUGUCAUGCCAAUGGCACUGCCCGGUAGCUAAAUGCGGAAGAGAUAAGUGCUGAAAGCAUCUAAGCACGAAACUUGCCCCGAGAUGAGUUCUCCCUGACCCUUUAAGGGUCCUGAAGGAACGUUGAAGACGACGACGUUGAUAGGCCGGGUGUGUAAGCGCAGCGAUGCGUUGAGCUAACCGGUACUAAUGAACCGUGAGGCUUAACCUUACAACGCCGAAGCUGUU
Molecule: ribosomal RNA, 2930 nt
Filed under: Escherichia coli
Lineage: Bacteria; Pseudomonadati; Pseudomonadota; Gammaproteobacteria; Enterobacterales; Enterobacteriaceae
Description: bacterial LSU rRNA
Rfam family: Bacterial large subunit ribosomal RNA
Source: RNAcentral